This 2330-nucleotide small RNA is filed under the name Arabidopsis thaliana (thale cress). RNAcentral describes it as "putative long intergenic non-coding RNA". The record is from RNAcentral. Lineage: Eukaryota; Viridiplantae; Streptophyta; Magnoliopsida; Brassicales; Brassicaceae.
UUUAAUGUUUACAAUUGUAUAAUUAUAUUUUGAUUAUUAAUUCUAGGGUUUCACGCAUAGUAUAUCAUCCCAUAAUAAUAUCGAUCCAGACAUGUUCUAUAUUUUAGGGUCCAAAAUGUUUAAAUAAUUACAAAAUAAGGUCUAAAUUUUAAAUAUUUAAAAUUUAAGUAAACAAAUUGGAACUUAAAACCGGGUCCAUUAAUUUAUUGGACCGGCCUGACCUUGUUAGUAGCCAAUAUCGUUAUAAAUAUGUAUUAUAUAAACAUUUAUAGGGCCCGCAUUUAUAUAAGCAAUGCGAUCCCUUACUUAUCCAUUUUUGACAUUACUUUUGAGACAGAUUGCAAGGAGUUGACACAGCUUUUGGACACUCCUGAUGAGUGGCCCGCAUUUUCUUCGGAGUUAGAAGAUUUUAAUGCUUUAAAGUCUAGAUUUCCUCGUUUUUCUUUAUCUUUUAUUCCACGUUUAAACAAUGUCCGUGCUGAUUAUUUUGCUAAGAAGGCAAGAGCACGAGGUUCUAUUUUUUCUCAUGUAAGCUCAUCAGGAUCCUAACUGAAAAAACGAUCCAUCAGAACAACAGCCCACAUGACUUACCCAAAGACUAAUCAUGCCUAAAGCCCAUCAGAUUUUAUGCCCAUUUACAACAAAUAAAAAUAGAAACUUGUUAAUAUUUUCGGUUGCCAAGGAUCGAACCAACCACCUUCUACCUUUAAUAGCAUAGAAAACAAUUAGACUUCAAGACGUUCUUUAAAAUUUGAUGCCCUCUAAAAUACAUAUAAAUCUUUUUACCUAAAGCAUCUAUUUGGUGGGCUUUAGGUCUGGGUCAAGCUUGACGGCCUAUCAGGCCAAGGGCUCGGCCCAAAUAAAGAAGGCUCAGCCCAUAAAACUUAAGAGAGAAUUCCUCCUUAACUCUUUGAUCUCUUACUUUCUGGUUUUUCGUUAUGUACUUUCGGUCUUUUGUUCUGUACUUUUGGUUUUAUGUUUUAUUAAUUACUAUUCUCAUUCAUCGUUGAUAAAAAAGCGGCCCCAUUCUCCCAAAAAAUCCCUUAGUUACUUAUUAUUACAACUUCAUUACAAAAAAUUGGCGUCCACCAUGGGGCUAGGAAGAGUUUUCUCCUUUAUUGAAAAUCAUAUACGAUAUUGCCAGUAAUCCUAGAAAGCCACGACGAGAUGACGGAAACCUCGAACAAACAAGUAGAUGAGUUCAGUACACCUUGUGCCGCACCACCAGCUCGGCCAACGACGCCACCUCCUGUCGUCACUCUUGACACAGUUCCCGCCGAGCUCGAAGAAACGACACCACGAGGAACCAGUCUCGACGAAGUCAUUCGAUCUUUCCUCAACCGACUCGACCUACAUGAUGUAAGAACUGCCGAACACAUCAACGCAAUCGUCGCUGCCCAGGAGGCCUCCCAGAAUCAGAUCAAGUAACUAUAGUCCUCUACAGCACGAGUCGUUCGACAGCUCAUCGAUAACAAAAAAAAUUUACCGGAACAAACUCCUAUCACGGAAUGACCAGUGAAUCGACAAAAUAGGCCGGCCUCCAUCGUCAUUGGAUCCAUUGACAAGCACAUCCGUGAAAUAUGCCGAACUGCAAAAAUCGUCCGAAAAUACUAAACACGCUGUAUAGAAAAUGAUGAUAUAAGUGGGUGUGAUCGGGAACUCCAACAACUAUGAACCACGUUGAAAGAUAUGUCAUCCAAGAUGCAUUGUACCGUCAGCUCGACACUAGAGUUAGACAAGAUAUUCGAGGAGACACAACACACUCCAUUCACUUCACGCAUCUCCAUUGUUCGCAUUUGUCACAUCAGCAAAAUCAAGCUGGCUAACUAUGAAGGGCUCAUUGACCCAAGGCCAUUCUUGACGUCAGUAUGCAUCGUGAUCGGUUGCGCACACUUCUCCAAAAAGGAGCGAGAUGCCGGAAGCUGACAACUUUUUGUAGAACAUCUAAGUGGCGCAGCGCUCACUUGGUUCUCAUGACUCGAGGUCAAUUCGAUCGACAACUUCCACAAACUCCCUACAAAUUUUUUUAAAGAAUUACGGAGUAUUCAUGGAGAAAGGUGCCUCUAACGCCGACUUUUGGGCAACGGCCAAAACUACUAAAUAAUCACUCCAAAGUUUCAACGGGAGAUUCAAAGAAUAGAUCAACGUACACGAGUCUCAUAGCACUACGACGCUAAUUACGUAAGGGAAGAUAAGGGAAAGAAGAGAUCAAUGUACUACAUUGGAGUCUCGACACCACUUUCUAAUUAAAAUUAUAGUUUGGUUUCUUUCUAUUCUCUUUUUUCUUUUCUUUUUCUAAAACUGUCGGUUUCUAAAUUAUUUAUGCUGCU